Eriocheir sinensis (Chinese mitten crab) is the source of this 2114-nucleotide long non-coding RNA. RefSeq lists it as uncharacterized. NCBI's taxonomy places the organism in Eukaryota, Metazoa, Arthropoda, Malacostraca, Decapoda, Varunidae. The transcript is spliced from 2 exons. The record is from RefSeq and is a predicted model, not a curated record.
ACGUCGGUCCCGCCCGCAGAAAAUCAAUACAGAGUUGCGGUGACUAAAACGGAGAGAGAGAGAGAGAGAGAGAGAGAGAGAGAGAGAGAGAGAGAGAGAGAGAGAGAGAGAGAGAGAGAGAGAGAUGGGGGCGGGGUAGUGGGUCUAUCUCCACUUCCGUGUAUCAUUUUUUUUUUUAGAAUUUCGUCCUCUUACUUUUUUCUUCCUCCUCUACCUCCUUAUCCUCCUCCUCCUCACCCCCACCUCUCUCUCUCUCUCUCUCUCUCUCUCUCUCUCUCUCUCUCUCUCUCACACACACACACACACACACACACACACACACACCAGUGCACUUUCAUCAACGGAGUGGCAACAACAAGAGGAUGGCUCUUACAUCAACGAAACCACACAAUUAAACCUCAUAAGCAAGCAAGUCGCUCUGUAUGCAUGCCUGUCUGUGUUUCUGAGGAGAGAUGACCCUUCUAUCAACUCUGCUACAUGGAGGAAUGAUACUAUAUUCUCCUUGCAGAUAUAUACGCGUACAAAGCCAGCAAGUCAAGAGGAGGCGCGUUCUAAGGGAGGACAUGAUCGGGUUUUGUAUGUCAGCAUCUCCGGUUAUGGUGAGAAAAGUGUAUAUAUAGCAUACUCGUGUAAAGAGAAAAGGCGAUCUUGUGUACCAGGCGACCCAUUCUUCCCAUCCUUCUCAUCCUCCUCCCCCUCCUCCUCUUUUUCCUCCUCCUCUUUGUCUUCGUCUUCCGUCUUCCUCUUCCUCUUCCUCCUCCUUCUCCCAAUGGCUGAUAUGUUUGAUAAAGGGGUAAAUCUGACUCCGUAGAAAAUAAUUAUAAAUGAAAAGUCAGCCCUUAACUUAAACUUGACCUCAAAAGACCCGUAAGAAAAAUCGAGAGUAUAUGAAACGGUGUAUAGCGACUAAAGAUAAUUUUUUUCGUUUGCUAGUGGCUUGUUUGAAAUUAUAUAUCUGCAAUGUUCACCCUUGACUUCUUCAUCUCAUCUGACAAGGCAAUGAAACAUGACAAGAUACGUAAUUACAUGAUCCGGCAGCUUCUGUAAACGCCACUUGGGAUAAGCUUGGGCGAGUGAACUUUUCGUGUGACUUGUCAUCAUCAUCAUACUCCCCAAUUAGAGGUAUGCUAAUUCACAGACCUUUAAAACAAUUUGAGAAAGAUUAGACGUUGAUAAAUACCGACCAAAACGUUCAGACACAGUCAUUACACAAGUGCGGAGAUUUGCGGCAAGAACGUAAUAACUGACGAAACCAGGCAGCGUAAGUUUGCUUUUUUUGGAUCUUAAUAAAAAAGAGACAAAGAGUGUACGCGUCUGUUACAGCUACUGGAAAUACAGGGGAGGGAGCGAGCAGCGAGAGUACUGAGAGAAGGUCAAACCGUGUAGCGUACGUUUGCAUCUCCGAGUCUUUAAAGAGGGAAAGAUUGGACGCGUCUGCUGAAAGGGCCACAAGUAAGCAGGAAAAGAGUGCAACAGAGGUUAUUUCAGGUAUAAGGUAAGACAAGGUAAGGUAAGGAAGAGUAAGGUAAGAUAAGGUAAGACAAGAUAAGGUAAGGUAAGGUAAGAUAGGGUGAAGUAAGAUAUAGAAAGAUGAUAUUUGGUAUGGGAAGGGAAAGGAAGGGAAAGGAAAGGGAAGGGAAGGGAAGAGAAGGAAAGUGAAGGAACGGGAAAGGAAGAGAAGGGAAAGGAAGGGAGGGGAAGGGAAGGGAGGAGAAGGAAAGCGAAGGAAAGGAAAGGCAAGGGAAGAGAAGGGAAAGGAAGGGAUGAGGAGGGAAGGCUUAGCAAGGUGAGGUGAUGUAAUGUGAGGUAAGGUAAGGAAAGGUAGGGUGAGAAGCACGUGUCUAUAUGUGUGCCUUACUGAGCCUUUGAAGAAAAGAAGAUUACACGUGUCUGUAAGGUAAAGUAAGGUAAGGGAAGAUAAGAAAAUGUAAACUUAUGCAAGGUAAGGUGAUGUAAGGUAAGGUGAAUAAGGUGAGAUAAAGUAAGGCAAGGAGAACGUCUAUGCGUGUGAUUUCUGAGCCUUUGAAGAAAAAAAGAUUAAGGGAUGUAUUCUCAGACAGAUCGGCGCCCUAGAACACAUAUUUGACAAGGCUUUCGUGGGGGUCUGAGGCAUU